Molecule: unclassified non-coding RNA, 246 nt
Filed under: Hevea brasiliensis (rubber tree)
Lineage: Eukaryota; Viridiplantae; Streptophyta; Magnoliopsida; Malpighiales; Euphorbiaceae
Source: RNAcentral
GAACAAGGCAGAUAAGAAAACUUGAUGCUACUAGGGAAAGUUAAGAAAGCCAAUAAAUAUGCAUCAGUUUAGUGGCCAUUAGGCUCUUUAACUCAAAAUCUAAAAAGGUAGGAUGGUAUUUAUUAGGUCUUAGGUUCAACAAUCUGGUAUGACUUAACAAAUUGAACAACCAUUAAUUACACUCAACUUCAAAAAGGGCUUUUGAUGUGGAAUCACCAUUUAGAGACUCUACGACUGUUUAUUUGG